RNAcentral lists this ribosomal RNA (253 nucleotides) under uncultured bacterium. RNAcentral's name for it is "partial 16S ribosomal RNA". It matches the Rfam family "Bacterial small subunit ribosomal RNA", at positions 524 to 776 of the family's 1533-position model. The record is from RNAcentral.
UACGAACUGUGCGAACGUUAUUCGGAAUCACUGGGCUUACAGGGUGCGUAGGCGGCCAGACAAGUCAGGUGUGAAAGCCCUCGGCUCAACCGAGGAACUGCGCUUGAAACUGUUUGGCUCGAGUCAACUAGAGGUGCGCGGAACUUCCAGUGGAGCGGUGAAAUGUGUUGAUAUUGGAAGGAACACCGGAGGCGAAAGCGGCGCACUGGGGUUGGUCUGACGCUGAGGUACGAAAGCCAGGGGAGCGAACGGG